RNAcentral lists this ribosomal RNA (411 nucleotides) under Byrrhus arietinus. RNAcentral describes it as "eukaryotic LSU rRNA". The stretch from base 1 to 90 matches the Rfam family "5.8S ribosomal RNA", at positions 66 to 154 of the family's 154-position model. Lineage: Eukaryota; Metazoa; Arthropoda; Insecta; Coleoptera; Byrrhidae. The record is from RNAcentral.
UGUGAACUGCAGGACACAUGAACAUCGACAUUUCGAACGCACAUUGCGGUCCUCGGAUACUGUUCCCGGACCACGUCUGGCUGAGGGUCGCGUCUUACAAUAAAAGACUGCUCGGUCCUCGAACGCGUAUAAUAUACGCGCAAGGGGACGCGGAGCGAAUGUGGGAGCUCGCGGACGCCGGCGACGGCGCCCGCGUCUCCUCAAAUAGCAAGCCCUCGUCGCGAGCGCGACGUGCCUCCCUAGGCCCGUGCGCGACCGUCGUGUCUUACGAGUUUCGGACGCAGACGACGGUUGCGCUAAGGACCGCCGCGGAGUACGCACGUCGUUUCGCACACUCGCAUGCGACGAGGGGAAAACAGAAACACAGGCGACCUCAGAGCAGGCGAGAUUACCCCCUAAUUUUAAGCAUUA